GACGAACGCUGGCGGCGUGCUUAACACAUGCAAGUCGAACGGAAAGGCCCUGCUUUUGUGGGGUGCUCGAGUGGCGAACGGGUGAGUAACACGUGAGUAACCUGCCCUUGACUUUGGGAUAACUUCAGGAAACUGGGGCUAAUACCGGAUAGGAGCUCCUGCUGCAUGGUGGGGGUUGGAAAGUUUCGGCGGGUGGGGAUGGACUCGCGGCUUAUCAGCGUGUUGGUGGGGUAGUGGCUUACCAAGGCUUUGACGGGUAGCCGGCCUGAGAGGGUGACCGGCCACAUUGGGACUGAGAUACGGCCCAGACUCCUACGGGAGGCAGCAGUGGGGAAUAUUGCACAAUGGGCGGAAGCCUGAUGCAGCAACGCCGCGUGCGGGAUGACGGCCUUCGGGUUGUAAACCGCUUUCGCCUGUGACGAAGCGUGAAUGACGGUAAUGGGUAAAGAAGCACCGGCUAACUACGUG
Molecule: ribosomal RNA, 468 nt
Filed under: uncultured bacterium
Lineage: Bacteria
Description: partial 16S ribosomal RNA
Rfam family: Bacterial small subunit ribosomal RNA
Source: RNAcentral